RNAcentral lists this ribosomal RNA (303 nucleotides) under uncultured bacterium. RNAcentral's name for it is "partial 16S ribosomal RNA". It matches the Rfam family "Bacterial small subunit ribosomal RNA", at positions 507 to 807 of the family's 1533-position model. The record is from RNAcentral.
AGCAGCCGCCGCGGUAAUACGUAGGGGGCAAGCGUUAUCCGGAAUUACUGGGUGUAAAGGGAGCGUAGACGGUUAAACAAGUCUGAAGUGAAAUGCCGGGGCUCAACCCCGGAGCUGCUUUGGGAACUGUAGAACUGGAGUGUCGGAGGGGUAAGCGGAAUUCCCAGUGUAGCGGUGAAAUGCGUAGAUAUUGGGAGGGACACCGGCGGCGAAGGCGGCUUACUGGACGACAACUGACGUUGAGGCUCGAAGGCGUGGGUAGCAAACAGGAUUAGAUACCCGGGUAGUCCCUGUCUCUUAUAC